Molecule: small nuclear RNA, 116 nt
Filed under: Chinchilla lanigera (long-tailed chinchilla)
Lineage: Eukaryota; Metazoa; Chordata; Mammalia; Rodentia; Chinchillidae
Source: RNAcentral
GCGCUUAAUUAUAAAGGUUUGGCAGCACAUAUACUAAAAUUGGAAUGAUACAGAGAAGAUUAGCAUUGCCCCUGAGCAAGGAUGACAUGCAAAUUCAUGAAGCGUUCCAUAUUAAA